Long non-coding RNA from Cyprinus carpio carpio, 2300 nucleotides. The record is from Ensembl. Lineage: Eukaryota; Metazoa; Chordata; Actinopteri; Cypriniformes; Cyprinidae.
GGACAUUUCUACAGAAUGUUUAGUGAGUGUUGAGAAGCCGCGCUAAAGAGGCGUCAUCCUUACCUUUUCUUUUGAUCUGUCCACUAUAGCGUUGUGGCUCUGAGCAGCGUCUUUGACCAGAUGACUUCGCUGAGACAGCAGGAGCUCGCCCCAGUCCUGUUGGGCUACCUGAAGCAGAGACACGCCUCGGGCUCACCUUGUGGGUCCGACACAAGCAGCCUCAGUGCUUGGCUGGAGGAGAGCUUUGGCAAAUUCUCCAUCUAUGUGGAUUACAACGACCUGCGUGAGAUCAAUGCAGGCUUUGGCAGCGUAAGCGGACCCGCCGUGAUACCCAUUUGUUUCCCGUGACUGUUUUGGCCAACCAUGUUACCGUCUAAUGAUUUUGUUGUUUUCUCCCCUGAAGUUUGAGGCGCUGGACAUUCUGAGCUCUUCUCAGGUCGCUCAACUGACGCUAGAGUCUGGAGCGCUGAACAGCGCGUCUCUGAUAAACAUGGUCUUUGAACGGCUAGAGCACGGCAACUCUUUCCAGAAUGUGGAAGAGUUCUUCGUGGCCCUCCACCAGACCUCACAGGUACGUCCUCGUGACUAAGAUGGCAAGCCAUAUUUUGGGCCUGAGUUGGCCCAUUUUUAAAGUGCAUUCGUGACACAAUUUCCAGUUGUGACGUUCGCUUUCUGUGUGUCAUUCCCUCCAGGAUUUGGACAUCAGUCCUGUGGUGAGGGACAUCAUGAUGAAUCGAACCUUCACUAUCAUCAGUCUUCAUUUUGCCGAAUUUGUGACCGCGACUGGGCUUCCUGGUUCACGGUGAAACUGACGCCUCUCCUUCCCCAGCUGGACUGCAGAGAUGCUCCAGACAGCGACCGUCACACACCGACUGCAACGGAUACCACAUCAUGUACGUAGCGCUCCCCUAGCUUUGUGACCGCUCUGUAACGCGCCCUCUAGUUACACUGUCAAAAAGACUGUGAGGUCGUUUCUCAAGUAGUCUCUAAAGGGUGGUGAAGAUCUACGCUAAUGAGGCAUCGUCCUUACCUUUUGUUGUGAUCUUUGCACUCUAGGGUUGUGGCUCUGAGCAGCGUCUUUGACCAGAUGACUUUGCUGAGACGGCAGGAGCUGGCCCCAGUCCUGUUGGGCUACCUGAAGCAGAGACACGCCUCGGGUAGGUCCAGUGAAGGUGGUGCUUUUUUGUGUCGUGUGCCUAAGAGAAAAGGCCUGUGGUGCCCUGGCUUUAUGAAUGUCUGCGUCUCCUAAUGAGUGUUUCCCGUGCAUCAUCGUUGCAGGCUCACCUUGUGGGUCCGACACAAGCAGCCUCAGUGCUUGGCUGGAGGAGAGCUUUGGCAAAUUCUCCAUCUAUGUGGAUUACAACGACCUGCGUGAGAUCAAUGCAGGCUUUGGCAGCGUAAGCGGACCGCCGUGAUACCCAUUUGUUUCCCCGUGACUGUUUUGGCCAACCAUGUUACGUCUAAUGAUUUUGUUGUUUUCUCCCCUGAAGUUUGAGGCGCUGGACAUUCUGAGCUCUUCUCAGGUCGCUCAACUGACGCUAGAGUCUGGAGCGCUGAACAGCGCGUCUCUGAUAAACAUGGUCUUUGAACGGCUAGAGCACGGCAACUCUUUCCAGAAUGUGGAAGAGUUCUUCGUGGCCCUCCACCAGACCUCACAGGUACGUCCUCGUGACUAAGAUGGCAAGCCAUAUUUUGGGCCUGAGUUGGCCAUUUUAAAGUGCAUUCGUGACACAAUUUCAGUUGUGACGUUCGCUUUCUGUGUGUCAUUUCCCUCCAGGAUUUGGACAUCAGUCCUGUGGUGAGGGACAUCAUGAUGAAUCGAACCUUCACUAUCAUCAGUCUUCAUUUUGCCGAAUUUGUGACCGCGACUGGGCUUCCUGGUUCACGGUGAAACUGACGCCUCUCCUUCCCCAGCUGGACUGCAGAGAUGCUCCAGACAGCGACCGUCACACACCGACUGCAACGGAUACCACAUCAUGUACGUAGCGCUCCCCUAGCUUUGUGACCGCUCUGUAACGCCCCCUCUAGUUACACUGUCAAAAAAAGACUGUGAGGUCGUUUCUCAAGUAGUCUCUAAAGGGUGGUGAAGAUCUACGUUAAUGAGGCAUCGUCCUUACCUUUUUGUUGUGAUCUUUGCACUCUAGGGUUGUGGCUCUGAGCAGCGUCUUUGACCAGAUGACUUUGCUGAGACGGCAGGAGCUGGCCCCAGUCCUGUUGGGCUACCUGAAGCAGAGACACGCCUCGGGUAGGUCCAGUGAAGGUGGUGCUUUUUUGUGUCGUGUGCCUAAGAGAAAAGGCCU